RNAcentral lists this ribosomal RNA (270 nucleotides) under uncultured archaeon. RNAcentral describes it as "partial 16S ribosomal RNA". It matches the Rfam family "Archaeal small subunit ribosomal RNA", at positions 477 to 747 of the family's 1478-position model. The record is from RNAcentral.
CUGCAGCUCAAGUGGUGAUCAUUAUUAUUGGGCCUAAAACGUCCGUAGCCGGUUUAGUAAAUGCCUGGGUAAAUCGUGUAGCUUAACUAUACGACUUCCGGGUAGACUGCUAAGCUUGAGAUCGGGAGAGGCUAGAGGUACUCCUGGGGUAGAGGUGAAAUUCUGUAAUCCUAGGGGGACCACCAGUGGCGAAGGCGUCUAGCUAGAACGAGUCUGACGGUGAGGGACGAAGCCCUGGGGCGCCAACCGGAUUAGAUACCCGAGUAGUCC